AACGAACGCUGGCGGCAGGCCUAACACAUGCAAGUCGAGCGCGCCUUCGGGUGAGCGGCGGACGGGUGAGUAACACGUGGGAAUAUGCCUUUCGGUGCGGAAUAGUCUUGGGAAACUGAGGGUAAUACCGCAUACGCCCCUUGGGGGAAAGAUUUAUCGCCGAAAGAUUAGCCCGCGUUGGAUUAGGUAGUUGGUGGGGUAAUGGCCUACCAAGCCGACGAUCCAUAGCUGGUUUGAGAGGAUGAUCAGCCACACUGGGACUGAGACACGGCCCAGACUCCUACGAGAGGCAGCAGUGGGGAAUCUUAGACAAUGGGGGCAACCCUGAUCUAGCCAUGCCGCGUGAGUGAUGAAGGCCUUAGGGUUGUAAAGCUCUUUCA
This 380-nucleotide ribosomal RNA is filed under the name alpha proteobacterium oral taxon A23. RNAcentral describes it as "bacterial SSU rRNA". It matches the Rfam family "Bacterial small subunit ribosomal RNA", at positions 29 to 438 of the family's 1533-position model. Lineage: Bacteria; Pseudomonadati; Pseudomonadota; Alphaproteobacteria. The record is from RNAcentral.